Molecule: ribosomal RNA, 370 nt
Filed under: uncultured organism
Description: partial 16S ribosomal RNA
Rfam family: Bacterial small subunit ribosomal RNA
Source: RNAcentral
GUAGGUGGCAAGCGUUGUCCGGAAUUAUUGGGCGUAAAGCGCGCGCAGGCGGUUCUUUAAGUCUGAUGUGAAAGCCCACGGCUCAACCGUGAGGGUCAUUGGAAACUGGAGAACUUGAGUACAGAAGAGGAAAGCGGAAUUCCACGUGUAGCGGUGAAAUGCGUAGAGAUGUGGAGGAACACCAGUGGCGAAGGCGGCUUUCUGGUCUGUAACUGACGCUGAGGCGCGAAAGCGUGGGGAGCAAACAGGGAUUAGAUACCCUGGUAGUCCACGCCGUAAACGAUGAGUGCUAAGUGUUAGGGGGUUUCCGCCCCCUUAGUGCUGCAGCUAACGCAUUAAGCACUCCGCCUGGGAGUACGGCGCAAGGCUG